GCCAGGGUCCUGAGGGCUCUCCCCGCCGGCAGCGGCUGGGCCGUGCUGGAGUGACAGCGUCUGUGCUUGCAGGUGAAGGAGGACUGGAAGUACGUGGCCAUGGUCAUCGACCGCAUCUUCCUCUGGAUGUUCAUCAUCGUCUGCCUGCUGGGGACGGUGGGCCUCUUCCUGCCGCCCUGGCUGGCUGGCAUGAUCUAGGAAGGGACCAGGAGCCUGCGUGGCCUGGGGCUGCCAUGCACGGGGCCAGCAUCCAUGCGGCUGGCCUGGGGCCGGGCUGGCUUCUCCCUGGACUCUGUGGGGCCACACGUUUGCCAAAUUAUCCUUCCUGUUCUGUGUCUGCUGUAAGACGGCCUCUGGGGAGACCGAGUGUGGAGCUGCUUCCAGUUGGUCUGUGGCCCCAGGAGGUAGUGGCUUGGAGCAGAGGUGGGGGUCGGCGCCUUCUACCUGCAGGACUCGGGCUAAGUCCAGUUCAAGAGUCUCCUGAGCUCCCCUGCAGAUGGAACUCACUCCUCCCAGUCUCUCAGCAGAUCUGGUGAUGGUCCCGACCGCCCCAAGGGGCCCUUGAAGGGAGUUCACGCCCCUUCAGCCCCAAGCGCCCCGUCUUCUGGAGGCCCGGCCGCCUCUCCCACCCACCGUGUCCUGCGCCUGUGUGGGCUUCGGCUUCUCCCCCAGGGUCCUCGAGCCUCUCGGACCCCAUGAGGGUGAGCCAGCAGCGCUCCAAUCUGCUUCGCUAGGAGAGGGUCCAGGCAGGGAUUGUGUUUGGUUGUGUUUUGGGUAAGUUAGUGAGAACUCAAGUCUUGUGCCCAAGGAGGCUUGGAGAAC
Molecule: small RNA, 822 nt
Filed under: Pan troglodytes (chimpanzee)
Lineage: Eukaryota; Metazoa; Chordata; Mammalia; Primates; Hominidae
Description: retained intron
Source: RNAcentral